This 231-nucleotide unclassified non-coding RNA is filed under the name air metagenome. RNAcentral's name for it is "partial contains small subunit ribosomal RNA, internal transcribed spacer 1, and 5.8S ribosomal RNA". The stretch from base 1 to 46 matches the Rfam family "Eukaryotic small subunit ribosomal RNA", at positions 1786 to 1831 of the family's 1831-position model. The record is from RNAcentral.
AAGUCGUAACAAGGUCUCCGUUGGUGAACCAGCGGAGGGAUCAUUACAGAGUUAUCACAACUCCAAACCCAUGUGAACCUUACCUCCUGUUGCCUCGGCAGGGCCUACCGGGCGCUCGCCGCCCCGCGUAGCGGCCUGCCGGCGGACCGAUAUAAACUCUUGCCUCAUGGUGUCUUCUGAGUAACGCAACAUAAUAAGUUAAAACUUUCAACAACGGAUCUCUUGGUUCUG